This 1676-nucleotide small RNA is filed under the name Pan troglodytes (chimpanzee). RNAcentral's name for it is "retained intron". Lineage: Eukaryota; Metazoa; Chordata; Mammalia; Primates; Hominidae. The record is from RNAcentral.
GGACGGCGGACGCUGGGACGAGUUUGUAGCUCCGGCCCUGCCGUUCCGACCCCCGCCGCGGUCGCCGCCAUGACGGGGCUAGCACUGCUCUACUCCGGGGUCUUCGUGGCCUUCUGGGCCUGCGCGCUGGCCGUGGGUGAGGCCGGGUCCUGGCGGGCGGGAGCAGCCUCGCGGCCGAGCUGGCCGGGUCGGAACUCGGCGGGGAAGUGGCCUGCGGGAAAUACUGGCCCCCCCGCGCGCUCUGCACCCGAGGCUCUGGGGACUUGCGCCUGCGAGGGCCUUUGACUCCGACAAAGGAGACCCGGAUUUCCAGCUGCUUGAGGAGGGGUGCGGGCGGGUAGGGGCCGCGAGGGCAGCACUCCCCCGUCCUGCCACUAUCGCUGUCUCCCCUCGCUCCCACGUCUCACUGCUGUCCCCCCUUUCUUGCUCCUGACCGGCCCGCUCGGUCACAAGCCGGCUGCUCCGGUUCCUCUUUCCCCAGUCGCUUUGCCCUCCCCCACCCACAGCUUGUUGGGUAAACAGCGGAACGGACUGGGCCGGCGGGAUCUGGCGGGGCCUGGCUGGAGCGCUUGCUCCCUCGGUCCCGCCUCGGAUUCGGGCUUGCGGGUGGCGACCCUGCCUGCGCAGGUGCUUGGUCUGGGAGGUGGUUUUAGCGAGGGAAUGGCAGAAAAUGGAGGCCUAAGCAGAGGAAUCUGUCUACACAGCUGUACUGUCACCUGGGGGCAGCCUGAGGACGCCCGUUCAGGGAGGUGGCCCUUCAGCUCGGCAGCUACUUUAGGUUGAAGAACUUCUCUCUACCGAGCAGCCCGUAACCCCCUUUUUUUCCCCUCACUGCUGCAGGAGUCUGCUACACCAUUUUUGAUUUGGGCUUCCGCUUUGAUGUGGCAUGGUUCCUGACGGAGACUUCGCCCUUCAUGUGGUCCAACCUGGGCAUUGGCCUAGCUAUCUCUCUGUCUGUGGUUGGGGCAGCCUGGGGCAUCUAUAUUACCGGCUCCUCCAUCAUUGGUGGAGGAGUGAAGGCCCCCAGGAUCAAGACCAAGAACCUGGUCAGCAUCAUCUUCUGUGAGGCUGUGGCCAUCUACGGCAUCAUCAUGGCAAUUGUCAUUAGCAACAUGGCUGAGCCUUUCAGUGCCACAGACCCCAAGGCCAUCGGCCAUCGGAACUACCAUGCAGGCUACUCCAUGUUUGGGGCUGGCCUCACCGUAGGCCUGUCUAACCUCUUCUGUGGAGUCUGCGUGGGCAUCGUGGGCAGUGGGGCUGCCCUGGCCGAUGCUCAGAACCCCAGCCUCUUUGUAAAGAUUCUCAUCGUGGAGAUCUUUGGCAGCGCCAUUGGCCUCUUUGGGGUCAUCGUCGCAAUUCUUCAGACCUCCAGAGUGAAGAUGGGUGAUUAGAUGAUAUGUGUGGGUGGGGCCGUGCCUCACUUUUAUUUAUUGCUGGUUUUCCUGGGACAGCUGGAGCUGUGUCCCUUAGCCUUUCAGAGGCUUGGUGUUCAGGGCCCUCCCUGCACUCACCUCUUGCUGCGUGUUGAUUUGGAGGCACUGCAGUCCAGGCCGAGUCCUCAGUGCGGGGAGCAGGCUGCUGCUGCUGACUCUGUGCAGCUGCGCACCUGUGUCCCCCACCUCCACCCUCAACCCAUCUUCCUAGUGUUUGUGAAAUAAACUUGGUAUUUGUCUGGG